GUUACAGAUGCUGGAAUGCUCUGUAACCCAAAGUUCCGGCGCCCUAGGGUGGAUCUGCGGCCGAUUAGGUUGUUGUUGGGGUAAUGGCCCAACAAGCCAGUAAUCGGUACGGGUUGUGGGAGCAAGAGCCCGGAGUUGGAUUCUGAGACACGAAUCCAGGCCCUACGGGGCGCAGCAGGCGCGAAAACUUUACAAUGCGGGCAACCGUGAUAAGGGAACCUCGAGUGCCUGUAAAUGCAGGCUGUUUAGGUGUUUAAAACGCACCUGGAGAAAGGGCCGGGCAAGACCGGUGCCAGCCGCCGCGGUAAUACCGGCGGCUCGAGUGGUGGCCACUUUUAUUGGGCUUAAAGCGUUCGUAGCUGGGUUGUUAAGUCUCUUGGGAAAUCUGGCGGCUUAACCGUCAGGCGUCUAAGGGAUACUGGCAAUCUUGGAACCGGGAGAGGUGAGGGGUACUUCGGGGGUAGGAGUGAAAUCCUGUAAUCCUCGAGGGACCACCUGUGGCGAAGGCGCCUCACCAGAACGGCUUCGACAGUGAGGGACGAAAGCUGGGGGAGCAAACCGGAUUAGAUACCCGGGUAGUCCCAGCCGUAAACUAUGCGCGUUAGGUGUAUCGGUGACCACGAGUUACCGAGGUGCCGAAGGGAAACCGUGAAACGUGCCGCCUGGGAAGUACGGUCGC
RNAcentral lists this ribosomal RNA (679 nucleotides) under uncultured archaeon. RNAcentral's name for it is "bacterial SSU rRNA". It matches the Rfam family "Archaeal small subunit ribosomal RNA", at positions 156 to 844 of the family's 1478-position model. The record is from RNAcentral.